RNAcentral lists this ribosomal RNA (492 nucleotides) under uncultured bacterium. RNAcentral's name for it is "partial 16S ribosomal RNA". It matches the Rfam family "Bacterial small subunit ribosomal RNA", at positions 29 to 507 of the family's 1533-position model. The record is from RNAcentral.
AGUGAACGCUGGCGGUAGGCCUAACACAUGCAAGUCGAACGGCAGCACAGUAAGAGCUUGCUCUUACGGGUGGCGAGUGGCGGACGGGUGAGGAAUACAUCGGAAUCUACUUUUUCGUGGGGGAUAACGUAGGGAAACUUACGCUAAUAGCGCAUACGACCUACGGGUGAAAGCAGGGGAUCUUCGGACCUUGCGCGAUUGAAUGAGCCGAUGUCGGAUUAGCUAGUUGGCGGGGUAAAGGCCCACCAAGGCGACGAUCCGUAGCUGGUCUGAGAGGAUGAUCAGACACACUGGAACUGAGACACGGUCCAGACUCCUACGGGAGGCAGCAGUGGGGAAUAUUGGACAAAGGGCGCAAGCCUGAUCCAGCCAUACCGCGUGGGUGAAGAAGGCCUUCGGGUUGUAAAGCCCUUUUGUUGGGAAAGAAAAGCAGCAGGUUAAUACCCCGCUGUUCUGACGGUACCCAAAGAAUAAGCACCGGCUAACUUCGUG